RNAcentral lists this ribosomal RNA (918 nucleotides) under Triticum aestivum (bread wheat). RNAcentral describes it as "partial small subunit ribosomal RNA". Lineage: Eukaryota; Viridiplantae; Streptophyta; Magnoliopsida; Poales; Poaceae. The record is from RNAcentral.
AUGAAUGAAAUAAAAUGCAUGUCAAUUAUGUGGGGAGAGAGAAUCAUGCAUGCCAGGUCAGCCUCUCCAUUCCAACUCUCUCUUUCUCUCCUAACAAAGUUGCAUGGCAUGCAUGUAUUUGAUCAGAUUAUAAGAGGUGUAGUAUAUACUCUGACAGAAUGCACGAAUCUUGACGAAACUAGGUGGACGGCGGAUGGUGGGUGGACUAUCUUUGAGAUCCUGCGGUACAUGUCGGAGCAUAACUGGUCGGCGUCCGAGGAGGCCCUCAAUGCCAAUCUGGUUCUUGCCAAGAUGAUAAUCAACGGCGUCGUCUACUCCCUCGGCGACUGGAUAGCACAAAUGCCAAUCCAGUCCAAUUACCCCUCGCUGACUGAUUCUAAUUCGGUUGUUCUUGUUUGUGUUGCUCCUGCUUAUUUACAGUGUUACGAAGGGAAUCACAUCUCCGAGUUUGACCGUACUCGUAUGUUCCGGUCUGGCCUCAUAGGGUUCACCCUCCAUGGAUCCCUUUUGCACUAUUACUACCAUUUCUGCGAGGUGCCCAUUGUGGUUCUUAGCCUGACUCAUAGAUAUUUUCUUGCAUCAUCGUUGUUCCCGUUCAAGGAUUGGUGGGCUGUGCUUGUCAAGGUUCCGGCUUUGUCUGCACUGUGGAACAACAUCUACUUUGUCACCUUGGGCUUCCUUCGCUGGGAAUCUCCCCCACCAUAUUCAGCGAGCUCAAGGGUAUUACCUUCGAUGCAAUAUAAUUUCUUAUAUAAUGAAAGGACAGUCUCAUAUGAGAAAAGUUUAUUCAUGACUUGUCUUUGUCUCGUCGAAAUGGUUGAUUUUGAUAUAAAAAUCAAGCAAACUAGUGAAUUCACAAACAGCAGCAGCAACACGUCUAUCCUCAGGAUGUACAAAUAUCUUCAUGAAGACAUGUAG